This 774-nucleotide ribosomal RNA is filed under the name uncultured Neocallimastigales. RNAcentral describes it as "partial large subunit ribosomal RNA". It matches the Rfam family "Eukaryotic large subunit ribosomal RNA", at positions 20 to 612 of the family's 3401-position model. The record is from RNAcentral. Lineage: Eukaryota; Fungi; Neocallimastigomycota; Neocallimastigomycetes; Neocallimastigales.
CAUCACUACGCUAGAUGCAUAUCAAUAAGCGGAGGAAAAGUAACUAACAAGGAUUCCCUUAGUAACGGCGAGUGAAGCGGGAAGAGCUCAAAUUUGAAAUCUUCAAGGUUUUACCUUGACGAAUUGUAGUUUAAAGAAGUGCUUUCUGUUGAAGUUUUGGUAAGAGUUCUUUGGAAUAGGACAUCAUAGAGGGUGAGAAUCCCGUAUUUGACCAUUACUUUCAGCUGUGUGAUACACUUUCAAAGAGUCGGAUUGUUUGGGAAUGCAGUCCAAAAUGGGUGGUAAAUUUCAUCUAAAGCUAAAUAUUGGCGAGAGACCGAUAGCGAACAAGUACCGUGAGGGAAAGAUGAAAAGAACUUUGAAAAGAGAGUUAAACAGUACGUGAAAUUGUCAAAAGGGAAGCGUUUGACACCAGUGUUGUUCUUCUGAAAAUCAAUUAAAGAACUGUUUAUGCUAAGUUGUUUAGACUUUAUCAGCUAACUGUUUAGUUUUGAGCUUUUCUUUAAUGCACUUUUCAGUUAACAAGUCAACAUCAAUUUCUUUUGCUGUAAAAAAGCUUGAGGAAGGUGGCUUGAGAUUCGUCUUAAGUGUUUAUAGCCUCUUGCCUAUGCAGUCGGAGAGAUUGAGGUCUGCAGCGUAGAUCCUUCGGGGCUAAAUGCAUUUGUGCUAAGUUAUAGCAUUUUAUAGACAACUUGUUGACUAUGAUUUGUCUUGUAGCUUACUCGCUUAUGUUAUUUUACCUACGCUUAGGAUGUUGACGCAUGAGAUAUACGC